UCCGGUUUAUCACCGGCAGUCCCUUUAGAGUGCCCAACUGAAUGCUGGCAACUAAAGGCGAGGGUUGCGCUCGUUGCGGGACUUAACCCAACAUCUCACGACACGAGCUGACGACAACCAUGCACCACCUGUCACUCCGUCCCCCGAAGGGGAACGUCCUAUCUCUAGGAUUGUCAGAGGAUGUCAAGACCUGGUAAGGUUCUUCGCGUUGCUUCGAAUUAAACCACAUGCUCCACCGCUUGUGCGGGUCCCCGUCAAUUCCUUUAAGUUUCAGCCUUGCGGCCGUACUCCCCAGGCGGCGAACUUAAUGCGUUAGCUUCGGCACGGAGGCCAUGACAGCCCCCACACCUAGUUCGCACCGUUUACGGCUAGGACUAC
This 378-nucleotide unclassified non-coding RNA is filed under the name uncultured bacterium. RNAcentral's name for it is "contains 16S-23S intergenic spacer region". The record is from RNAcentral.